This 1006-nucleotide ribosomal RNA is filed under the name uncultured bacterium. RNAcentral's name for it is "bacterial SSU rRNA". It matches the Rfam family "Bacterial small subunit ribosomal RNA", at positions 89 to 1108 of the family's 1533-position model. The record is from RNAcentral.
GCUCGAGUGGCGAACGGGUGAGUAACACGUGAGUAACCUGCCCUUGACUUUGGGAUAACUUCAGGAAACUGGGGCUAAUACCGGAUAGGAGCUCCUGCUGCAUGGUGGGGGUUGGAAAGUUUCGGCGGUUGGGGAUGGACUCGCGGCUUAUCAGCUUGUUGGUGGGGUAGUGGCUUACCAAGGCUUUGACGGGUAGCCGGCCUGAGAGGGUGACCGGCCACAUUGGGACUGAGAUACGGCCCAGACUCCUACGGGAGGCAGCAGUGGGGAAUAUUGCACAAUGGGCGGAAGCCUGAUGCAGCAACGCCGCGUGCGGGAUGACGGCCUUCGGGUUGUAAACCGCUUUCGCCUGUGACGAAGCGUGAGUGACGGUAAUGGGUAAAGAAGCACCGGCUAACUACGUGCCAGCAGCCGCGGUGAUACGUAGGGUGCGAGCGUUGUCCGGAUUUAUUGGGCGUAAAGGGCUCGUAGGUGGUUGAUCGCGUCGGAAGUGUAAUCUUGGGGCUUAACCCUGAGCGUGCUUUCGAUACGGGUUGACUUGAGGAAGGUAGGGGAGAAUGGAAUUCCUGGUGGAGCGGUGGAAUGCGCAGAUAUCAGGAGGAACACCAGUGGCGAAGGCGGUUCUCUGGGCCUUUCCUGACUCUGAGGAGCGAAAGCGUGGGGAGCGAACAGGCUUAGAUACCCUGGUAGUCCACGCUGUAAACGGUGGGUACUAGGUGUGGGGUCCAUUCCACGGGUUCCGUGCCGUAGCUAACGCUUUAAGUACCCCGCCUGGGGAGUACGGCCGCAAGGCUAAAACUCAAAGGAAUUGACGGGGCCCCGCACAAGCGGCGGAGCAUGCGGAUUAAUUCGAUGCAACGCGUAGAACCUUACCUGGGUUUGACAUGGAUCGGGAGCGCUCAGAGAUGGGUGUGCCUCUUUUGGGGUCGGUUCACAGGUGGUGCAUGGCUGUCGUCAGCUCGUGUCGUGAGAUGUUGGUUAGUCCCGCAACGAGCGCAACCCUUGU